GCCGGUGUAGCUCAGCUGGCAGAGCAACUGAUUCGUAAUCAGUAGGUCGGAGGUUCGAGUCCUCUCACCGGCACCA
RNAcentral lists this transfer RNA (76 nucleotides) under Gammaproteobacteria bacterium. RNAcentral's name for it is "tRNA-Thr". It matches the Rfam family "tRNA". Rfam says of the family: Transfer RNA (tRNA) molecules are approximately 80 nucleotides in length. Their secondary structure includes four short double-helical elements and three loops (D, anti-codon, and T loops). Further hydrogen bonds mediate the characteristic L-shaped molecular structure. tRNAs have two regions of fundamental functional importance: the anti-codon, which is responsible for specific mRNA codon recognition, and the 3' end, to which the tRNAs corresponding amino acid is attached (by aminoacyl-tRNA synthetases). tRNAs cope with the degeneracy of the genetic code in two manners: having more than one tRNA (with a specific anti-codon) for a particular amino acid; and 'wobble' base-pairing, i.e. permitting non-standard base-pairing at the 3rd anti-codon position. RNAcentral also lists the same sequence under 1 other name. The record is from RNAcentral. Lineage: Bacteria; Pseudomonadati; Pseudomonadota; Gammaproteobacteria.